Molecule: long non-coding RNA, 2019 nt
Organism: Phacochoerus africanus (Common warthog)
Lineage: Eukaryota; Metazoa; Chordata; Mammalia; Artiodactyla; Suidae
Exons: 2
Source: RefSeq, a predicted model, not a curated record
AAGAGUGUACUUCAUGCCCCCUCAAUUCUGCUGCUGACAAGGUCAGAUUUCCCUUUUGGGUUGCAAAUUUCACUUCUCUUUUAUAAUCAAGGAAUGUUUGCUGUGUUGGUUGAGUCUGGGGACGUCUUUGCUUGUCCCACCUCUCUAUUUCUGGGAAGGGCGGACCGGGAGGGAUCACUUCCUGCUUGUGGUAACGGUACCAGGAACCACAAGCAGUUUUGUAUCUCUGCUUGUUAACACUGGGAACAGCAGUAAACUACCCAGAUUGAUCACUCACUGGCUGCAGUGUUUUUGGCAGCCGUGCUUUCUGCCUGCCAGGACGAAGAAGGCGGGAGGCGGGCCCUGGAGGAAUAACCCCCCUCUGAGAGGAAGAGUCUCUUUCUGCCUGGAGCCAAAGUGAACAUAGAUCCGCCCGUUGUUGGGGGCCCUGGGGACCCCCUUUCUACGACACCAAAGGUCCCCCGUGCUCAUGUGGGCUGUACGUGAUGCACCUGCCAUCGUCCGCACGUGAAGAAUUUACGGAUGGGAGGCUCCGGGCAAAACCUGGUCCGUGCCACACCUGCAGGCUUUAGGCAAGGAGUGGCUGCCGAUGGGAAGGAAGGUGAGUGUUCUUCGAGGUGUGGGGCCCGAUGAUUUCCCAGAUGGUCGGCAGAGUGAGAGGGACCUUCGGAUCGACGUUUGCUGAGCUGACCUUGCGGGUGAGCGUGGGCCUGGCUGUUUGUUUGGCAGGACCCGGUGAAUGCUUUGGCCAUGCUUUUACCCUGUUCAUUCAUUCUUUCACUCCAAAGACAAUCAAUGGAUGCUCACGCUGUGCCAAGAUGCGGAUCCACUCACUGAGAUUAGCAGUUCAGGAGGGCAGUACGUUCGAGAGGACGACCGGCAUCCGGCUCUGAGCAUGUUGAGUCUGAGGCAUCCUCACUCUUCCCCAUUCCCACGGCCGGAUCAGUACAAAAUCCUGUCCCUUCUGCAUCCUGAGUGUGUUGUAAACCCAUCCAGCUCUCUUCGCUCCCACUGCUAGUCAAAAGUUCAACCCAGCAGCAUCCUUUAUCUAUGGAUUGAAAAAAAUAGCGUGAAAGACCCAACUCCUCGCGUGAGCCUCAGCCCUCCUGGGAAGACCACCUCCCCUCCCGUGGGCCCAGCAGCAGCGACAACAGCGCGCGACAGCCCAGGGAGCUCUGUGCGGCCCCUGAUACAUUGUCAAAGACAUGGCCUUGUUUUUUCCUCCCAUUCCCGAGGGGUUUUUAAAGGUUUGUAUCGAGAUGCAGUUUACAUACCAUGAAACGGACUCGCUCAAGGAUUUUCGGGACGUUUACCGCGUGCUGCCGCCAUCGCCAUGAUCCAGUCUGAGAUCCAUCACCUCCAUCACAUCUCUCCCCUGCCCGUUGGUACCCAGUCCUCAUUACCACCCGAGCCCCUGGCGGCCACGGGUGAGCUUCCUGUCUCUGUGGGUUUCCCUGCCAUGGACAGUUCCCAUAGUGCUUUUUGGUGUUGUAUUUAAGAACGCUCGUAGUUCCUGAUGUGGCUGAGUGUGUUAAGAACACAACACUGUCUCUGUGAGGAUGUGGAUUCCAUCCCUGGCCUCACCCAGUGGGUUAAGGAUCUGGCGUUGCCGUGGCUGUGGUGUAGGUGAAAGAUGCAGCUUGGAUCUGGGGUUGCUGUGGCUGCGCUGUGGGCCUCAGCAGUAGUUCGGAUUCGUAGGAUUGGGUUCCAGGAUGCAACAUCUGAGCAUGGUCAUGUUCCUUAUAUAAAAUUGCAUAUAAUGCAGUUGGCUCCACAUCUGCUGAUACAGAACCUAUGAAUUCGACCAACUCUGGAUGGAAAAUCUUUGUAUCUCUUACAUUUAGGUCUCUGAUUCAUUUUGAGUAAAUCUUUGUGGAUGGUGUGAACUCAGGACCUAAAUUCAUCUUCUUGUAUGUGGGCUCCAAUUGUCCUCGCACCAUUUGUUGAAAAGACCAUCCUUUCCCCUAGUGAAUAUCCUUGACAUCUUUGUCAACAAUAAAUUGACCAGAAAUAUAAGUA